Molecule: small nucleolar RNA, 104 nt
Organism: Rhinolophus ferrumequinum (greater horseshoe bat)
Lineage: Eukaryota; Metazoa; Chordata; Mammalia; Chiroptera; Rhinolophidae
Source: Ensembl
AUCCUUUUGUAGUUCAUAAGUGUGAUGAUUGGGUGUUCACACUCUUGUGUGAGAUGUGCCUCCCUCAAACCUUGUUACGACAUGGGCACAUUAUCCGUCUGACA